Bubalus bubalis (water buffalo) is the source of this 1729-nucleotide long non-coding RNA. RefSeq lists it as uncharacterized. The transcript is spliced from 6 exons. NCBI's taxonomy places the organism in Eukaryota, Metazoa, Chordata, Mammalia, Artiodactyla, Bovidae. The record is from RefSeq and is a predicted model, not a curated record.
UCAGCGCCGCGCGCGACGGCCACAGCCGGGUCAGAAAAGUGGACGCCGCACCCCCGGCUUUCUGGGAGCGGAACGCACAGGUCGGCCCCGCAGCCCGGCUCGCCCUCUUCUCGCUGCCCCUGCGCACCGAUUCUCUUCGGGAAUCGUCCACAAGAGCCCGAGGCCGCCCUCUCCUUCCGGCGGCGGCCGCGCCGGGCCCGCGGCCCUGGACGCCCGCCCCCCCAAGUGCCGGCGCAGCCCGGCGACUCCGCCGCCCCAAGUUCGCCCGAGCAUUGAGGCAUUUGGCACUUGGCGGACAGCUAGUCGGUAUUUUUAUUGACUCAGGGUGCACAGCCCCAAGCACUGUUGAUCCACAGUUCCUUGGUGCAUCUUUUCUGUUGGAGAAACCAGGACAGACUGAGAGGAACAUUUUGUCUUGAUUUCAAACUCAAGUGAGGAAGACUGAUCUGCCCAGCUCAAGCCAGAAUUAUCACUCAGUAACUCGUGUGAUAACAGACUUAAUAGAACUGAUUUUAUAUUUUCGAAGGAAAAAAUGUGAAUCAUGUAUUCCUGCCUAGGUUUUGAGCUGACCAGAGAAAAUCACCAUCACAAUGACCAAAUCAAAGAGCUGCAUGGGACCUAAGAGGAAAUGGCAGAUACACUCGGAAAAUCCAGAGUAACAGGAACUCAGAACCAUCAUGGGUUAGAGACAUGAUCAGUGCAAGAAGAUGCCGCUUGGGUCAGGGAACCCCUAACAUGGGACAUGAGUUUGACUGGUGAAAUAUGUGCCCGUGCAAAUCUUAUUCUCUAUUUUCUAUAAUCACCAUCUGAAAUCAAUAAGUGAAGUACACCACAGUCUAAUGUAUCUUACUAUUCAUCUUCAUACUUUAAAAUAAACAUGAUUUCUUGGCUUCUCUUUUCAGCCUUGUGAGUGGGCUUGCAGGGAAAGCCCUUUCACUCCUAAUAUGCAGCUCCCACCUCUUUGACUUCAGAGCAAAGCCCCCAGCUCCCUUCUGUAUCAUGUCAUCUCACCUGUGCAACAGACCUCCCCUUAACUCACUGCAGCCCUCAGAGACCAGGCUGCAUCUUUAACAAGCUUAACUGAAGCGUGGGGAGUAUCAGAAGAGAAGGACAUCGUAGCCCCGCUGCUGGAUUUGGCUCCCCGGUCCCCAACCUCCGGGACCUAAUGCCUGAUGAUCUGAAGUGAAAGCUGAUAUAAUAGAAAUAAAGUGCACAACAAAUGUAAUACACUUGAAUCGUCCUGAAACCAUCCCCUCUGCCUCCUGGUCCAUGGCAAAAUGGCCUUCCACGAAACCAAUCCCUGGUGCCAAAAAGGUUGGGGACCCCUGAGCUACCAGAUGAGCUUACCCCAAACCCAGCGAGGCUCAGACCCAUUCUGAAUCCUCCACAAAGAUUUGCCUGUGUAGCUCCCAUCCCUGUCCUGCUCAGGCCGACCCCAGAAGCAGGUCAAAGGUAUCCACAACUCCAAGCACAAGCCUACUGCCAAGCUCCAGACAUGGGAAGGAGGUGUUUCCUUCCCCCGGUUUGGAGCCCACUUCUCCAGUUAUCAUUGGCCCAGUGACUGAUUACUUUUCCUAAGAUAACAGACCAACAGAAUCAUGAACUUGUCUCAUGGUUCCCUGUAGGAUAAUGCAUCAAAACACACCAGUACAGUAUCAAUACAUUCUAGAUUAUUUGACCUUAUGUAGGCCACAGACAGGGUUUCCCAGGUGGCGCUAGUGGUAAAGAA